AUUGAACGCUGGCUGCAUGCUUUACACAUGCAAGUCGAACGGUAACAGGUUAAGCUGACGAGUGGCGAACGGGUGAUUAAUGCAUCGGAACGUGCCCGGUCGUGGGGGAUAACACUUCGAAAGAAGUGCUAAUACCGCAUACGAUCUGAGGAUGAAAGCGGGGGACCGUAAGGCCUCGCGCGAUCGGAGCUGCCGAGGUCAGAUUAGGUAGUUGGUGGGGUAAAGGCUCACCAAGCCGACGAUCUGUAGCUGGUCUGAGAGGACGACCAGCCACACUGGGACUGAGACACGGCCCAGACUCCUACGGGAGGCAGCAGUGGGGAAUUUUGGACAAUGGGCGCAAGCCUGAUCCAGCAAUGCCGCGUGCAGGAAGAAGGCCUUCGGGUUGUAAACUGCUUUUGUACGGAGCGAAAAGGCUCUCUCUAAUACAGGGGGCUCAUGACGGUACCGUAAGAAUAAGCACCGGCUAACUACGUGCCAGCCGCCGCAGUAA
RNAcentral lists this ribosomal RNA (493 nucleotides) under uncultured bacterium. RNAcentral's name for it is "partial 16S ribosomal RNA". It matches the Rfam family "Bacterial small subunit ribosomal RNA", at positions 30 to 523 of the family's 1533-position model. The record is from RNAcentral.